GUGACAGCCCCGUACACAAAAAUGCACAUACUGUGAGCUCGAUGAGUAGGGCGGGACACGUGGUAUCCUGUCUGAAUAUGGGGGGACCAUCCUCCAAGGCUAAAUACUCCUGACUGACCGAUAGUGAACCAGUACCGUGAGGGAAAGGCGAAAAGAACCCCGGCGAGGGGAGUGAAAAAGAACCUGAAACCGUGUACGUACAAGCAGUGGGAGCCUCUUUUAUGGGGUGACUGCGUACCUUUUGUAUAAUGGGUCAGCGACUUAUAUUCUGUAGCAAGGUUAACCGAAUAGGGGAGCCGAAGGGAAACCGAGUCUUAACUGGGCGUUAAGUUGCAGGGUAUAGACCCGAAACCCGGUGAUCUAGCCAUGGGCAGGUUGAAGGUUGGGUAACACUAACUGGAGGACCGAACCGACUAAUGUUGAAAAAUUAGCGGAUGACUUGUGGCUGGGGGUGAAAGGCCAAUCAAACCGGGAGAUAGCUGGUUCUCCCCGAAAGCUAUUUAGGUAGCGCCUCGUGAAUUCAUCUCCGGGGGUAGAGCACUGUUUCGGCAAGGGGGUCAUCCCGACUUACCAACCCGAUGCAAACUGCGAAUACCGGAGAAUGUUAUCACGGGAGACACACGGCGGGUGCUAACGUCCGUCGUGAAGAGGGAAACAACCCAGACCGCCAGCUAAGGUCCCAAAGUCAUGGUUAAGUGGGAAACGAUGUGGGAAGGCCCAGACAGCCAGGAUGUUGGCUUAGAAGCAGCCAUCAUUUAAAGAAAGCGUAAUAGCUCACUGGUCGAGUCGGCCUGCGCGGAAGAUGUAACGGGGCUAAACCAUGCACCGAAGCUGCGGCAGCGACGCUUAUGCGUUGUUGGGUAGGGGAGCGUUCUGUAAGCCUGCGAAGGUGUGCUGUGAGGCAUGCUGGAGGUAUCAGAAGUGCGAAUGCUGACAUAAGUAACGAUAAAGCGGGUGAAAAGCCCGCUCGCCGGAAGACCAAGGGUUCCUGUCCAACGUUAAUCGGGGCAGGGUGAGUCGACCCCUAAGGCGAGGCCGAAAGGCGUAGUCGAUGGGAAACAGGUUAAUAUUCCUGUACUUGGUGUUACUGCGAAGGGGGGACGGAGAAGGCUAUGUUGGCCGGGCGACGGUUGUCCCGGUUUAAGCGUGUAGGCUGGUUUUCCAGGCAAAUCCGGAAAAUCAAGGCUGAGGCGUGAUGACGAGGCACUACGGUGCUGAAGCAACAAAUGCCCUGCUUCCAGGAAAAGCCUCUAAGCAUCAGGUAACAUCAAAUCGUACCCCAAACCGACACAGGUGGUCAGGUAGAGAAUACCAAGGCGCUUGAGAGAACUCGGGUGAAGGAACUAGGCAAAAUGGUGCCGUAACUUCGGGAGAAGGCACGCUGAUAUGUAGGUGAAGCGACUUGCUCGUGGAGCUGAAAUCAGUCGAAGAUACCAGCUGGCUGCAACUGUUUAUUAAAAACACAGCACUGUGCAAACACGAAAGUGGACGUAUACGGUGUGACGCCUGCCCGGUGCCGGAAGGUUAAUUGAUGGGGUUAGCGGUAACGCGAAGCUCUUGAUCGAAGCCCCGGUAAACGGCGGCCGUAACUAUAACGGUCCUAAGGUAGCGAAAUUCCUUGUCGGGUAAGUUCCGACCUGCACGAAUGGCGUAAUGAUGGCCAGGCUGUCUCCACCCGAGACUCAGUGAAAUUGAACUCGCUGUGAAGAUGCAGUGUACCCGCGGCAAGACGGAAAGACCCCGUGAACCUUUACUAUAGCUUGACACUGAACAUUGAGCCUUGAUGUGUAGGAUAGGUGGGAGGCUUUGAAGUGUGGACGCCAGUCUGCAUGGAGCCGGCCUUGAAAUACCACCCUUUAAUGUUUGAUGUUCUAACGUUGGCCCCUGAUCGGGGUUGCGGACAGUGUCUGGUGGGUAGUUUGACUGGGGCGGUCUCCUCCUAAAGAGUAACGGAGGAGCACGAAGGUUGGCUAAUCCUGGUCGGACAUCAGGAGGUUAGUGCAAUGGCAUAAGCCAGCUUGACUGCGAGCGUGACGGCGCGAGCAGGUGCGAAAGCAGGUCAUAGUGAUCCGGUGGUUCUGAAUGGAAGGGCCAUCGCUCAACGGAUAAAAGGUACUCCGGGGAUAACAGGCUGAUACCGCCCAAGAGUUCAUAUCGACGGCGGUGUUUGGCACCUCGAUGUCGGCUCAUCACAUCCUGGGGCUGAAGUAGGUCCCAAGGGUAUGGCUGUUCGCCAUUUAAAGUGGUACGCGAGCUGGGUUUAGAACGUCGUGAGACAGUUCGGUCCCUAUCUGCCGUGGGCGCUGGAGAACUGAGGGGGGCUGCUCCUAGUACGAGAGGACCGGAGUGGACGCAUCACUGGUGUUCGGGUUGUCAUGCCAAUGGCACUGCCCGGUAGCUAAAUGCGGAAGAGAUAAGUGCUGAAAGCAUCUAAGCACGAAACUUGCCCCGA
This 2452-nucleotide ribosomal RNA is filed under the name Escherichia coli. Its description in RNAcentral is "partial 23S ribosomal RNA". It matches the Rfam family "Bacterial large subunit ribosomal RNA", at positions 364 to 2802 of the family's 2925-position model. Lineage: Bacteria; Pseudomonadati; Pseudomonadota; Gammaproteobacteria; Enterobacterales; Enterobacteriaceae. The record is from RNAcentral.